AAUUUUCAACCCUGGGCUGAGUUCAACCCUGGGGUUGAAAUUUCAACCCUGCUUCAGCUAGCAGGCCGGGUUGAAAUUUCAACCCCGGGGUUGAACUCAGCUCUGGGUUGAAAA
This 114-nucleotide microRNA precursor is filed under the name Paramuricea clavata. Lineage: Eukaryota; Metazoa; Cnidaria; Anthozoa; Malacalcyonacea; Plexauridae. The record is from RNAcentral.